UUUUAUUCUAUUUUUCAUUUUUAUAAUUUCCAUUUGGUUCUUCUUUAUAUCUUCUAUCUCUUUACUGAGACUUUCAGUCUUUCCAUUUGUUUCAAGAAUACUCAUCUUUACUUCUUUGAGCAUGGUUCUAAUAGCUGUUUAAAAGUCUUUGUCUCCUAGUUACAACAUUUGUGUCUUCUCAGGGUUGGUGUCUGUUGACUGUCGUUUCUCUUGUAGGUUAAGAUUUUCCUGGUUCUUUGUAUGCUGAUUAAUUUUGGAUUGUAUCCUGGACAUUUCUAAGAGUAAAAACAGGAAGGCUCAAAAACUGGGAUUUGUUAGUAGACUUUUCAGAUUUAAUUGACUUUUGUGAUAUCAUUACAAACCAGUGGAAUAUAAAAGAGGAUUGGGCAUACUUUUUGAAAAAACGUACACUGCAUAUGUACAUAAAGGUUCAUGUUGAACUCUAUUGCUUUUUAGCAAAUGAAUAAGAGUAUUGCUCUUUUCAAAGCAAUAAUAUAUUGGACUGAUAUGCAGGUUAAAAUACUUGUUAAAAUAUUGGGGCUGGCCCAGUGGCAUAGUGGUUAGGUUUACAUGCCUGCUUCAGCGACCCAGGCUUUGGAGAUUUGGAUCCCAGGCGUGGACCUAGCACCACUUCUCAAGCCGUGCUGUGGCAGCAUCCCACAUAAAAUAGAGGAAGAUUGGCACAGGUGUUAGCUCAGUGACAAUCUUCCUCAAGCAAAAAGAGGGAGAUUGGCAACAGAUGUUAGCUCAGGACCAAUCUUCCUCAUAUACACACACAAAAAUUACUUGUUAAAAUAUUAAAAUAUUUUUGAUAGCUGUGGCCCUACCCUCCUGAGUCACUUUUCACUAGGCCCCCAUUACCUCAGCUUCACUUUCAGGAAACCCCAAACUUUCCUUUAGUCUAGCAACUAAAGAGUUAAUGUCUGGCCCCUCAGGGCGACUACUGGAUGGACCCAGCUCCUGCUCUGUGGUUGAAGACUCUCUGGUAGGUCAAGGCCAGUGCCUACCAGUCACUAAGUAUUUAGAAUAUUGCCUCUGCCGGCACCUUAUAUUUGCACAACAUUUUAUAGUUCACAAAAUAUGUUAACAUUUAUUGUCUUAGUUAAGCCUCAUACCAACUCCAUGACAUAAGUAGGAAUUAUUAUGGCCAUCAGAACACAUUUAAAUGAUAAAAUUAGUACAUAUUAGUGUGGAAAAUGAAUUACUGUUGGGGAACUCUAGACUCAGAAAGGUUAUCACUUACCCAGGAUCGCAUGGUUAUAGGCAUCGGAGUCCAAACUCCUAAUAGCUUCAAGAACAGUACGUAUCUUCAGUGCUGGGUUUCAGGGAGGGAGAUUUUACUCUGGACUGGAUAGAUCUGGGAAGGCAAUUGCAGGAGGAAGGCACCGAGCUUGUACUGAGGGACUGGUGGGAUCUGGUAGGCAGAGAGGAAGAACAAGGAUAUUUUACUCAGGAGCAGUGUGAAAGGUGGCCCAAAUGUAGCAAAAUAUCCUAUUCCCGUGAUCAUUGCAAGACUCCUUCUCUGGAGGCAUUGGAACUGAAAUUUCCCGACAUUCACUCACAGAGAGCACCUGAGGCAAAGCUCCCCUCUCUUACAUUGCUUGCUCAAUUCUGGAUUGUCGUUGAAGGAGGCAGGAAACAAACCUUCAUAAGCUGCCAAAGAUGAAUUGUACUCAUUGGGCCAUUUUUCUCCUUCACCCUUGGGUCCCUCCAGAUAGAGCAGUUGAUGAGAAAGAGAGGAAGUCUUCAAUAUUAUUCGCAGCUCCUCGGCUGCUUCUACCAAGUCCAUAAAGGCUUAUCCAAGGAGAGAAUAAUGCUCUAAGUCGAAGCAUGGCAACCAUAGUCCUAAAGUUCUUCGGGUAUCUGUGUUCCCCUGUCUGCAAUAGCAGUGGGAACCAUUUGCUCACAUAACACUCUUUCACCUCAUUUAACAGAAACGUUGUGCCUUUCCUUUGGAGGCACGAGGUGGCAAGAUGGCGGUGCAAAUUCCCAAGAAGGGAAAGCUUGUUGCUGAUGGCAUUUUCAAAGGUGAACUGAAUGUUUCUCACUCAGGAGCUGGCUAAAGAUGGCUACUCUGGAGGAGUAGAUGCCUCCAGGCAUUUUUAACACAGAGAAAAAUAUUAAUGAUCAAACAUAAAGAAGUGAAGAGAUGCUCCUUCAGGGCAAGUAUGGUUUUGAACAGAGAAACUAGAAGACAGAUAAUCCACAGAGAACUGUCCCAUCUUAAGGACAAAAGUGGAGAACCCACGUGGAGGUGUGUCCAGUCCAGAGGAGUCUUUCUUUGCAAACUCAUAGAUGCACUUUGGGGAUGUGGUCAUCAGUGCAGAAAUCAUGUAGAAGAAGAAACUGACAGACUUUUCUCCCAUACUUGACUUGUCGUAAACCCACAGUGAAAUUAAUUUUGGUUUCUAUUUAUGUGUCUUGUGGCUGCAGCCUGCGACGAUAUGAACCACUCUUAUGCUGAAUGUGUACUUGUGCCUGAGUGAAGUUUCUAUAUGAAUUCAAUAAUUGUUCAGUUCUUCACUUCGCUUCGUCAACAGUGUUCACUGCACACCUGCUGUGCUCUGUAACGGAGGUACUCGGGGGAUGUGCAGAGACACUUGCAUCCUCCCUGGCCCUCUGGCUGAGCUCUGGCAGAUGCCAAGCUGGUUUAUCACCCAAGGCUGGGCCCAUGUGUCCCUUCUAGGGCCACUCAGCCCAGGAAUUUUUUCCUUCCAAAUUUCUUUCCAACUGUACAUUUAGUUCUUUGUAAAUGUUUCCUGAAUACCUGUCUUAUUACUAAAUAUUUUUCCAGUGUAUAUUCUCUCUUACACAUGAAAUCAUAAACCUCUUAAAGGUGAAUACAUAUUCAUAUUACUUCUUAGCAUCUUACUUCUUAGCAUCGCCAUCCCAAUCACAGAGCCUAACACGAUUUGAUAUGUGUUUAUUUUACUUUAAAGCAUAAUUUGUCUUUAUUAUAUAAUUACACUUGUUCAUAAUGAAAAUGUUCAUUAUGUAAAUUUAGAUAAUCUAGACAAGCAAAAAGAAGACUUUUAAGUUGCCCAAAGUUCUACCGUUCAAGAAUAAGUAUUGUUAACAUCGUGCAUGGGGUAUACACCAAACAGGAUAUAUAUUUACCCCAAGGAAGCUAAAAUUUUAAUGGAAUGAAUUGAAAUAUACACAACCACAAACAAGAAGGGGUGAGAUGAUGGAGUUAGGUUUCUUGAGAAGCCAGGAAGAUGAUGUGGUUUCUUGUGGCCCAGGGCAGGCAGCAUAAGUGUGCUUGUAGAGACUUGGCGAAGCGGGCCAUCCAGAAAAUAGUUCUCCCAUCAGCUCUUGGCGUCAUUAUCACAGGAAUAAAGACUGUCCUUCCACAGCAGCAUUGAAUGACAGGCAGAAGUGUGGUUCCCAAACCAGCAACAUCAGUGUCACCUGGGAACUUUUCAGAACUGCAUCUUCUCAGGUCCCAUCCUAGAUCCACUGAAUCAGAAACACUGGGGGUGGCCCAACAGGCUGUUUUAAGAAGCCGUCCAAGCGAUGCUGAUGCACAAUAAAGUCUGAGAAGCACUGUCUAAAAACUGGGAUUGUAUCUUGUUCAUUGUUGAGUUCUCUGUCUCAGCACCUGCUGCCUAGAAGAAUUUGUUAAAUCAAGAAGACAAG
This 3639-nucleotide long non-coding RNA is filed under the name Equus caballus (horse). Its description in RNAcentral is "lncRNA (ENSECAG00000056592.1)". Lineage: Eukaryota; Metazoa; Chordata; Mammalia; Perissodactyla; Equidae. The record is from RNAcentral.